Molecule: ribosomal RNA, 239 nt
Filed under: Geobacillus thermoleovorans
Lineage: Bacteria; Bacillati; Bacillota; Bacilli; Caryophanales; Anoxybacillaceae
Description: partial 16S ribosomal RNA
Rfam family: Bacterial small subunit ribosomal RNA
Source: RNAcentral
UGCAACUCGCCUGCAUGAAGCCGGAAUCGCUAGUAAUCGCGGAUCAGCAUGCCGCGGUGAAUACGUUCCCGGGCCUUGUACACACCGCCCGUCACACCACGAGAGCUUGCAACACCCGAAGUCGGUGAGGUAACCCGCAAGGGAGCCAGCCGCCGAAGGUGGGGCAAGUGAUUGGGGUGAAGUCGUAACAAGGUAGCCGUACCGGAAGGUGCGGCUGGAUCACCUCCUUUCUAAGGAGA